GGGCAAAUGCACUUUCCUCACUUAACUUUGACAGCAUCCCGUUGAAGGAAAGUGGAAUUUCUCUUUGACUGGUAAGCACUCCAAGAAAAUAAAAAAGCAAUAUAAAGCCGGCCACACACAUGCAUAGGAAAUUCGCCUUGAAUCUCUCGAGGAGGGUGGCAAAAAGUGGAAAUAAAACAGCAUCAACAGCAGUUAAAAAAACACCAGUAGACAAGUCUACCCCAAAGAGAAGAUUAAGACCGUGUGCAAUACCAAGGAUCAUAGUGAGGUCCAAUGCAAUCACAGAAAGUGCUGUUUGAACUCCAAGAAACAUGCACGUGAACUUGUCGUACUCAUCAUGGCAAAUCUGGGCAAGAUCUCUUCCAGUGACCACACCAAUUCGAGCUGAGAGGUAUUGGCAUAAAAUAGCAGCAAAAUUGAAAAUGAGCAUAGGAAGCACUAGAUCAUACCCAAAACGAGCACCUCCUUCGACAGUUGCCACCCACUUUCCAGGGUCAACAUAUCCUAUUGCAAUUAGAAGUCCAGGUCCAACAGCAGGAAGUAGCCGAUGAAGAAUACCAGGCAUGUGGUUAGCAUUCACAAACUCAGACUCCAUGUUAUUCAUUGGUACUACAAGCAAAAUGUAUGUCCCAGAGCAAGAUGAUACUUAAAUAGCAGUUCCGUAUAAAAUAACAACCCUUCUAUGAAUAAUGAGCAAAUCAAUUACAUCGUUAUUUGCUGCUUAAAUCUGCAUCUCCGAUAGUUUGUUCCACCUAUCACUGAAUAUUCAAUGAAACACUAGCGAGUCACUCAACAAAACAUGCUUUGAAUCAGCAAAGCCAAAGUCAAAUCCAUUUUCUUUAGAGCACAUUAAUAAGCAGGAACAGUGUAUCAAACAACGGCAUAGAUAUUGCUGGACUUGCAGCCCUGGGAAAUGCAAUUGAACUGAUCAAAUCAGUGAAAUCUCCCCAUGUCAGAAUUAAU
This 963-nucleotide unclassified non-coding RNA is filed under the name Hevea brasiliensis (rubber tree). Lineage: Eukaryota; Viridiplantae; Streptophyta; Magnoliopsida; Malpighiales; Euphorbiaceae. The record is from RNAcentral.